AACCUAAUGGUGUAAUGCUACACACCUGCUCUUAUUAGUUGGAGAAGUCAUGAAGCAGGAGGUCUCGGUUCGUAUCCGGGUUAGGUCA
This is a non-coding RNA of Mycena vulgaris, 88 nucleotides long. Lineage: Eukaryota; Fungi; Basidiomycota; Agaricomycetes; Agaricales; Mycenaceae. The record is from the annotation of a GenBank genome assembly.